GUAUUAACUUUGACAGCACGUCUACUAAAAUUGGAGCAAUACAGAUACCAUCAGAAUGAUUCCUGCAUGAGGAUGCCAUGCAAAUUGGCAAAGGGUUCUGUUUCUUU
This 107-nucleotide small nuclear RNA is filed under the name Procavia capensis (Cape rock hyrax). The record is from RNAcentral. Lineage: Eukaryota; Metazoa; Chordata; Mammalia; Hyracoidea; Procaviidae.